This 479-nucleotide ribosomal RNA is filed under the name uncultured Salinimicrobium sp. RNAcentral describes it as "bacterial SSU rRNA". It matches the Rfam family "Bacterial small subunit ribosomal RNA", at positions 28 to 505 of the family's 1533-position model. Lineage: Bacteria; Pseudomonadati; Bacteroidota; Flavobacteriia; Flavobacteriales; Flavobacteriaceae. The record is from RNAcentral.
GAUGAACGCUAGCGGCAGGCUUAACACAUGCAAGUCGAGGGGCAGCACGUCUUCGGAUGGUGGCGACCGGCGCACGGGUGCGUAACGCGUAUACAAUCUACCUUUUACAGGGGCAUAGCCCGGGGAAACCCGGAUUAAUAUCCCAUGGUAUCAUUUAGUGGCAUCACUUGAAUGAUUAAAGUUUCGGCGGUAAAAGAUGAGUAUGCGUUCUAUUAGCUAGAUGGUAAGGUAACGGCUUACCAUGGCUACGAUAGAUAGGGGUCCUGAGAGGGAGAUCCCCCACACUGGUACUGAGACACGGACCAGACUCCUACGGGAGGCAGCAGUGAGGAAUAUUGGACAAUGGGCGAGAGCCUGAUCCAGCCAUGCCGCGUGCAGGAAGACUGCCCUAUGGGUUGUAAACUGCUUUUAUACGGGAAGAAACACCUCUUCGUGAAGAGGCUUGACGGUACCGUAUGAAUAAGGAUCGGCUAACUCCG